RNAcentral lists this long non-coding RNA (425 nucleotides) under Elaeis guineensis (African oil palm). RNAcentral's name for it is "long non-coding RNA (EGUI_LNC025432)". The record is from RNAcentral. Lineage: Eukaryota; Viridiplantae; Streptophyta; Magnoliopsida; Arecales; Arecaceae.
UUCUACUCCCUCGUCUCCUCUUUUUCUCUCUUUCCCAGGAAAAGAAAAUAAUUGUUCCUCCCAGGAAUGAGCAAACUAUAGUCCGCAUGAUUCGGCAAGACACCUCCAAACGGAGAAUAUAUAAAGUGCGAGAGAGAAGUAGCCCGAUCGGGCUCAUUCGUCCCUCUUUUACCUGGACAAGUGAUUGGAGGAAUUGAAUUAGCCAAAAGGAAGCUCCUGGGGGCCUGGGGCAUUCUUAUGCUGAACUGAAGCUGUUCCAUCGGCCAUCGCAUAGCGUCAGACAGAGAGGGCCCACGUUGGUGGCGACGAGCAACCAGAAACUCAUAAAUAGGAGCCUGGAGAAGAAGGAUUGGUCGAAGUUGAAUGUAUUGUCCACACACACCUGCCACCGACUGGUUUUAAAAAUUUAAAAUUGUGUACUACCA